Long non-coding RNA from Hippocampus zosterae (dwarf seahorse), 99 nucleotides. RefSeq lists it as uncharacterized. The transcript is spliced from 2 exons. The record is from RefSeq and is a predicted model, not a curated record. Lineage: Eukaryota; Metazoa; Chordata; Actinopteri; Syngnathiformes; Syngnathidae.
GCAGGGUUUUUUUUUUUUUUUUUUUUUUUUUUUUUUUACUUUUUUUUUUUUACUCCCUUUUUCUUUUUUUUUUUUUUUUUUUUUUUUUUUUUUUUUUUU